GAAAUGCGAUAAGUAAUGUGAAUUGCAGAAUUCAGUGAAUCAUCGAAUCUUUGAACGCACAUUGCGCCCUUUGGUAUUCCGGAGGGCAUGCCCGUUCGAGCGUCAUUACACCACUCAAGCCUGGCUUGGUAUUGGGCGACGGGGCCUGUCCCCGCGCCCCCAUUUCGUCGGUUGGACGGUUGGAAUCUCAGCGUUGUGAAUCAAUUCGCUUUGAUGAAGGCCGGCCGCGCCGUUAAAACCCCCAUUUCAUUCAGGUUGACCUCGGAUCGGGUAGGGAUACCCGCUGAACUUAAGC
RNAcentral lists this unclassified non-coding RNA (295 nucleotides) under plant metagenome. Its description in RNAcentral is "partial contains 5.8S ribosomal RNA, internal transcribed spacer 2, and large subunit ribosomal RNA". The stretch from base 1 to 105 matches the Rfam family "5.8S ribosomal RNA", at positions 50 to 154 of the family's 154-position model. The record is from RNAcentral.